UACGGGGGGGGCAAGCGUUGUUCGGAAUUACUGGGCGUAAAGGGCUCGUAGGCGGCCAACUAAGUCAGACGUGAAAUCCCUCGGCUUAACCGGGGAACUGCGUCUGAUACUGGAUGGCUUGAGUUCGGGAGAGGGAUGUGGAAUUCCAGGUGUAGCGGUGAAAUGCGUAGAUAUCUGGAGGAACACCGGUGGCGAAGGCGGCAUCCUGGACCGACACUGACGCUGAGACGCGAAAGCGUGGGGAGCGAACAGG
RNAcentral lists this ribosomal RNA (253 nucleotides) under uncultured bacterium. RNAcentral describes it as "partial 16S ribosomal RNA". It matches the Rfam family "Bacterial small subunit ribosomal RNA", at positions 524 to 776 of the family's 1533-position model. The record is from RNAcentral.